UGACCAUUUGAAAAAAGAGCAUCUACUGC
Molecule: small RNA, 29 nt
Filed under: Bombyx mori (domestic silkworm)
Lineage: Eukaryota; Metazoa; Arthropoda; Insecta; Lepidoptera; Bombycidae
Description: piRNA piR-bmo-1958564
Source: RNAcentral